This 358-nucleotide ribosomal RNA is filed under the name uncultured Anoxybacillus sp. Its description in RNAcentral is "bacterial SSU rRNA". It matches the Rfam family "Bacterial small subunit ribosomal RNA", at positions 1026 to 1382 of the family's 1533-position model. The record is from RNAcentral. Lineage: Bacteria; Bacillati; Bacillota; Bacilli; Caryophanales; Anoxybacillaceae.
ACAGGGUGACAGGUGGGUGCAUGGUUGUCGUCAGCUCGUGUCGUGAGAUGUUGGGUUAAGUCCCGCAACGAGCGCAACCCUCGACCUUAGUUGCCAGCAUUCAGUUGGGGCACUCUAAGGUGACUGCCGGCUAAAAGUCGGAGGAAGGUGGGGGAUGACGUCAAAUCAUCAUGCCCCUUAUGACCUGGGCUACACACGUGCUACAAUGGGCGGUACAAAGGGUCGCGAACCCGCGAGGGGGAGCCAAUCCCAAAAAACCGCUCUCAGUUCGGAUUGCAGGCUGCAACUCGCCUGCAUGAAGCCGGAAUCGCUAGUAAUCGCGGAUCAGCAUGCCGCGGUGAAUACGUUCCCGGGCCUU